AAGUGCCCCCUCUUCUUCGGAAGGUGACUGUGGACGAUCGCGAGCAGGACAGACACAAUCGUCGUUUUAGCAGCCUUUGUCGUUUGUUGUCUUAUAAGCGGGAGACUUGAACCAGUGCAUGAAGGCAUCCACCUAGCUUCAGGUCAGCUGAGGUCGUCGCCAUGGGAUCGCCGUACGAUAAAGAGCCCUGCUGUGGUAUCUCGCUGCUCAAGUACAUCUUGUUCAUCUUCAACUUUUUUCUCCUGCUAGGGGGCGCCGGAGUGACGGGCAUUGGGCUCUGGACCCUACUCAAGAAGUGGGACUACGCCAGCCUGCUCUGCGACGAUCUCUACACCAUUGCCACCUGGGUGCUGAUCAUCGUGGGCGGGAUUGUAAUCAUCAUCGCAGCGCUGGGCUGCUUCGGUGCCCAACAAGAGCAGAAAUGCUGCCUGCUGAUUUACUUUACACUUCUGCUACUGCUGUGCCUAGGGGAGCUUCUGGUCGGCAUCUAUACUUACAUCUACAGAGAUCGGGUUAACAUGGAGCUGGAGCGGUGCCUCAACAGCACGCUGGUGGCCAACUACGGCAUGCCUGACCAAGAGGAUUACUCCAAGGGUGUUGACAACCUACAGAGAAAGUUUUACUGCUGUGGUGCGUCUGGCUAUGCAGACUACCAGCAAAGCCUGUGGAAAGUAAAAGGGAAAGCUGGUAACCUGAGCUCGCCAGACAGCUGCUGCAAAACGGAGAGCAGCUACUGUGCCGUCCGGGACCAUCCUUCCAACAUCUACCAUUUGGGUUGCGUGGAUGGGCUGACCAACUACUUCAGUGGACACCUUGCUAUCAUCGGUGCGGUGUGCAUGGCGAUCGCAGGCGUGCAGAUAUUUGGGCUGGUCUUCUCCAUGUGUCUGUAUUGUCAUCUGAGAUAUGAAGAACAAGAGCCGUAUUAACCUGCAACGAAACGAGAAUGAAUCUUCAGGGGUGGGUCAGCGACAAUAGUCAGUCACAUUUCUUGUUCUCACUCCCCGACACUUGACCUGUCUUCUGCAGAAAUGCUAGAAGAUUCGGAUAUUGUUGGCGUAAACUUGCAGUCAGUUUGGGGGAAAUGAAGGUAGACAUUGCGUUGUAUUGGCCAGUCCAUUGUUUUGGUAAGCAUAUUGGCAUUGUAAAGUUUUCACGGUGAAGAGUGUUUGGAGAUAUGUGAAUGUAGAAUUUGUAUUCGUGCGGUGUUGUAAGACGUAGGCUUGAAUUAAGCCACAAAACCAGUGUGCACAGGAGGACGAGUCAUGGACAUGGCAGCAUUCGUGUUUGGUAAUCGCGCUUGUUUCUCCUAAACAAAGUUUUCAAAUCUCAAAUAAGGUUUUAGCAACAGGGAACCAAAAACACGGGGAAAAAAAAUCUGAGUCUUGCAACCAGUCUUCUUCAAGGGUGUUGUAAUUGUUACAGUAUUCAGACGGACAUGUGUGUAAAAAGUACAUACCUGCUGCAGUCUAAACCUGUAUAAAUGUUCUUGCAACUUUUGUAAGCUUGUUUUUUUAACUUCUAAGUACAUUUCAUCCCAGUAUGUAGAAGAAAAAAAAAUUGUGCAUGGAUGGAUGGCCAAAAGUGUGAGCCGAGUGUUGAACAUUAGCUUAGCCGAUUUAAGUAACCGUUUCAUAGAUUUUUUUGCUAAUUACUCAUACCUUUCAAAAAGGAUCGAGGAACAUUUUUUCUUUUUAACGAGUGGGUGCAGUUUUGUUUUCAGUUUGGUGCUAUCCAGUUCAUCUAACUUCCCUUAUGUUGAUUGAACUUGCGUCCUGCACUUUUAAUUUUAAUAGUGGUUACGUCGUCAUAGGAUUUGUGGUAGUGGUGUAGGAGACGUUCGACGCCCUCUUGUGGCGGCCUUUAGAGAAUCUCACAAGCUAGGUCUCUGCAGGCAAUCUGUAUUCUUAUUUCUACUGUUUUCAUGGGUCGAGUGUAGAAGGCAUGUCAGAGUGCCAAAUUGUAGGUGGCAUGCACACGUGUAGGUUCGCCUUUAACAAAGGGAGCACUUUUCAGGCAUGCAACUUGGACUUGGACAAAAAAAGGAGGAAAUAAUUCCAAUCUUUACGAGUCUCUGUACGGGUGUUUUUCAAUUUUCAUGGCGUGAUGUGAAGUGAAAAACAAGGAAAUCAGCUGAUCCGGGAAAAGUUGCAGGCCAGAUUUUUAGAAGACAUUUUAAGCGUGAUUUUUAACUGCCAUGCAACCUUGGUUUAUAUAAAUUUUGUAUCUCUAUUUAUUCAUGUUUUUCAGCCAUUAUUUUAUUCUUGGCAUUGAAAUGAUAAAUUUUAUAAUACUUAUGCCCUCUAGUAUACUCCUUACCAGUACUAACAGAUCAUCCUCCUUCAAAGAUUGCUUGGAUGGGUAGAAUUGCAUUGUUGGGUAUGUUCAGGUGCAAACUAUAGUUCGACCGGUGGUGAGUUGUUUUUUAACAGCGCGCAUGCGUAAUUCGGUUACACUCCAACAACCCUAGCCGGGCUAUUUUUUAAAAUUUCAUCAUUACAUUGCACCGUUGGCUGCAAUUCUCGAAGAAUAAAUGGUCGUGAAAUGGUUCCCUCAGUAAUGAUAAAUGAAAUUGGCUUUUGAUAACCAGUGGCGUGUCCAUGCCCUGGAGCCUGGUACCAAAUGGUGGACCAGAAAGUCCAAACCAUCCAGCAUUCAGGCGACGUUACUCCAACUAUAGUCAAUGAUAGUCGGCGCUCGAACUUGCCUAUAUAGAUAGUUUAUGUAGUGUGGAUUCUAGUUGUGAAACCAGGAAUUCCUGAGAAGUGCACUGCAACUGGAAGUUUGAAGGAUACCUAGAGAGAGAACACAAAGAAAUUUAGGCCGUUUAGAAGCUGGAGGAAAGCCUGGAAUGAUCCGGGGAGACCCAGCGCAUCAGGCAUGGACUGGAAACCCAAUCCACAUUUUGUCCUGGGCGGGAUUCGAACCAGGUCAGUGGUGGAAGGCGAGGACAAAACCACUGUCACAAACUUGGAUAUAAGGGCACAGGUUAAACCCCCUCCAAAAAAACAGUGAACAAAGUGAGAUCUUCGGUACAAGGGAAAGCACUAUGUACAUACAUGUACGUGCAAUCAUUGCAGUAAUUUUGGACUACUUGGUAUACGCACGCCGUUCUUUUCGAGGUUUGGAAGCUUUAGUCACUUGAGUGCAGGUCCGAAAGAUAUAUGCCUUGGCCGCAUUGUAGUUGCAUUUCUCAGAUGUCUAGGACGUGCAAGGACUCAUCCAAAUGUGAUUAUUGUGACUGACCUGUAACAGAUUGGCGUCACGCCUUGUUUACAUGUGUGCUUUCCUAUUUUCAGUAAGGCGUGACAUGAUGUGUCGAAGCAUAGGCAGGUGUACAUGUACAUGUCAAGAGAAUCUGUCUGACUAGGUCUGUCGUUUCAUCGCCUGCAGAUUAAGAGGCAAUGCUUAAGCUGCAAAAUGUUUAUACCAGCAAUGAGGCGAGCACACGUACAAACUCUUUCUAUUCAAAUCUGGCAGCCAUUUUGAUUCUUCAGUACUUCUUAAGGCGAUGAUUUUUCAGGGCUCCAUAUCCGGCAUUUUGUUAUACGUUCUUACUCUUCUCGGUGUUGAAUCUUGUCGACUUGUGCUUGCCUGCAAUAGCUCUUGUAUUUUGUACUUUGUACUAAUUAUUAAGAAAUGUAUAUUAUGCAACUCAGUUCUUAUUCUGUAAAUACCAGUUGAGUAGCGGUAAGUGAGGUGGAUGAUUUGAUGAGGAAAUGACGUUCUGUGGGGGCAGCCAUCUUGGAAUUGUCCCCGGAAGGUGCAGUGCAUGUCUAUGUGGAGAUUUCAUUGUGAGGUAAAUAGUUACGAAAAUAUAGCAAAUUUGGUAAGUUUGAAAGAGGCAAUUGAUGAUAUUUUCACACCUGUUCCCCUUCUGUUUAACGGCUUCCUUAUAGUUUGUAUUCAGAACUUACCCAUGUCACUGAUUUUUUAAAAUCAUUAUCUUGUUUAUUCUAAACAAUGCAUGUAAACAUAAUUUCAGGCAUUUUCGUACGAUCAUGUUCAGACAGCAAGUUAGCAAGAGCAAAGCAAACAAUAAAAUCAUUUUUGUACCAAAA
Molecule: unclassified non-coding RNA, 4058 nt
Filed under: Acanthaster planci (crown-of-thorns starfish)
Lineage: Eukaryota; Metazoa; Echinodermata; Asteroidea; Valvatida; Acanthasteridae
Description: cD151 antigen-like, transcript variant X1
Source: RNAcentral